Molecule: ribosomal RNA, 776 nt
Filed under: uncultured Neocallimastigales
Lineage: Eukaryota; Fungi; Neocallimastigomycota; Neocallimastigomycetes; Neocallimastigales
Description: partial large subunit ribosomal RNA
Rfam family: Eukaryotic large subunit ribosomal RNA
Source: RNAcentral
ACACGCAUGACACACUGCAUAUCAAUAAGCGGAGGAAAAGAAACUAACAAGGAUUCCCUUAGUAACGGCGAGUGAAGCGGGAAGAGCUCAAAUUUGAAAUCUUCAAGGUUCUACCUUGACGAAUUGUAGUUUAUAGAAGUGUUUUCUGUUAGUAGAGUGGCAAAAGUUCUUUGGAAUAGGACAUCAUAGAGGGUGAGAAUCCCGUAUUUGGUCAUUCUUUCUAGCUUUGUGAUACACUUUCAACGAGUCGGAUUGUUUGGGAAUGCAGUCCAAAAUGGGUGGUAAAUUUCAUCUAAAGCUAAAUAUUGGCGAGAGACCGAUAGCGAACAAGUACCGUGAGGGAAAGAUGAAAAGAACUUUGAAAAGAGAGUUAAACAGUACGUGAAAUUGUCAAAAGGGAAGCGUUUGACACCAGUGCUGUUUUUUCCGAAAAUCAAUUACGAAUGUUUUGUUUUUGAGAAGUUAUGACUUCAUCGGCUUGCUUCUCUCUUUACAAAACUUUCUUAAUGCACUUUUCGGUUAACAAGUCAACAUCAAUUUCUUUUGUUGUAAAAGGGUAUGAGGAAGGUGGCUUUCUUUUCGGAGAAAGUGUUUAUAGCCUUGUACCUCUGCAAUCGGAGAGAUUGAGGUCUGCAGCGUAGAUCCUUCGGGGUUAGAUACAUUUGUGCUAAGUUAUAGCUUUUCAUAGACAACUUGUUGACUAUGCUUAAGUCUUGUAGCUUACUCGCUUAUGCUAUUUUACCUACGCUUAGGAUGUUGAGCGCAUGUCUCUCUCU